GACCUCUCAUCGUGUCCCUUUCAGGGUGCCAUCAGCGCGGCUGGAAAGCUGUUCCUGACGCCAAACUCACAAAGGCUUUGCCCGCACUCCUGAUGUCUAAAGAGCAAGGUGUCGUUUAUUCCACGCAGGGAGAUAUUGGCUGUGGGCAGGAGGGGAGUGAGCUCUGCUCCAUUUCUGGAGCUGUGGAGGAGACCCUGGAGAUCAGAUCAACGACAGGGAAUAGACUCAGAAGAUUCCUGGGUGAAUUGUUCAGGUCCCAUCCCGUGGGCACGGCGGUGCUGAUUCUGCUGCUCCUGGUGCUGGUGCUGGCUUUGGGGGUGGCCGUGGCUGUGCCGGCAGCACCACAGGUUCCAGUCACACCUACGACUCCACAGUGUGUUCUGGGCUGUCCCNGUGGUCUCAGCCACUGAAAUGAGGAACUUUUCUUGUGGGUUCCCAAUACCAUUUCCAACAAAGCCCAGCUGGUGCUGAAAAUAGCAUUCACAUUCGGGGGCAAAACCAAUAAGGAAUCACAGACAUCUGAAGUCAAAUGAGGGUCCCAUAAAAGUAAAAUUUCUCUUUGUUUUUAACAGAGGCAGAUUUUCAUCUUUUAAGCCCAAAUCUUCUCUGACACACAAAAGAACAUAAAAUCCAUAAACACUUUAGUUCCAACUUGAAAUAUUUGUUUUUUGGCAAUUCUGUUUUUACAUAAAGUGUGGUUGGAUGAACACUACUGAAGCACAGAAACACUAAGACUACUACUGCAAACUGCAGAAAUUACUGAAAAUUCUCUUCUACUGUCAGCAAGAGUCAACAUGUCUGAAGGUUUCCUUGUAUGGAGAACAGUUACACUGAAUGGUUUUGACAUCAAAAUCAACUGGAAAACAAUGAUUUCAGGUAAAGUGUAAAAAAUGAACACUGUGUUAUGGAUAUAUAUUAUGGUGUUGGCCUUUUGCCUAUAUUAAAAUGGAUUCCAUAAGUGUGGUGUUAAAGUGACUUUGCUGAAAGUACAUAGUUUCUAUUUUUCUUGCUAACUAAAACUUGGAAAUAGCUGAUCUAGAUAUGCCUAUGUCAAAAUGCCUGCUUGGUUGAGAUAAUAUCCAAGGAAUAUAGGAUGCCAACUACCAGCACUCAUCUUCUGAAGGCAGUGUGGACCCAGGCCCAAAAACUGAAGGUAAUGAUAAAAUUAACUAAAACCACAACCAAGAAGUGUGCGUGCUCUAAAAAGCAGGACCUGAGGACGAGCCAUGCAAAACAGUUCUUGGGGCAUGUAAACUAGUUUGGGAAAAAAUUUACAUAUGCACCAGGCUGAUGCAAUAGAAAUGCUAUAUAAUUUGUGUUUCCAAACUAGCAGGUGUGCUCCAUGCUGAGGGCCAAGACACACCCAGCUGUAACCUCUGCUUUGUUGUCUUUGUCUUCUAUUAAAGUCCU
RNAcentral lists this long non-coding RNA (1410 nucleotides) under Zonotrichia albicollis (white-throated sparrow). RNAcentral describes it as "lncRNA (ENSZALG00000004498.1)". Lineage: Eukaryota; Metazoa; Chordata; Aves; Passeriformes; Passerellidae. The record is from RNAcentral.